GAUGAACGCUGGCGGCGUGCCUAAUACAUGCGAGUCGAGCGAACGGACGAGAAGCUUGCUUCUCUGAUGUUAGCGGCGGACGGGUGAGUAACACGUGGAUAACCUACCUAUAAUACUGGGAUAACUUCGGGAAACCGGAGCUAAUACCGUAUAAUAUUUUGAACCGCAUGGUUCAAAAGUGAAAGACGGUCUUGCUGUCACUUCUAGAUGGAUCCCGGCUGCAUUAGCUAGUUGGUAAGGUAACGGCUUACCAAGGCAACGUUGCAUAGCCGACCUGAGAGGGGGAUCGGCCACCCGGGAACGGGGACACGGUCCAGAGUCCUGCGGGAGGCAGCAGUAGGGAACCUGCCGCAAUGGGCGAGAGCCUGACGGAGCAGCGCCGCGUGAGAGAUGAAGGCCUUCGGAUCGUAAAACUCUGUUAUGAGGGAAGAACAUAUGUGUAAGUAACUGUGCACAUCGUGACGGUACCUAAUCAGGAAGCCCCGGCUAACUACGUG
RNAcentral lists this ribosomal RNA (497 nucleotides) under uncultured bacterium. Its description in RNAcentral is "partial 16S ribosomal RNA". It matches the Rfam family "Bacterial small subunit ribosomal RNA", at positions 28 to 507 of the family's 1533-position model. The record is from RNAcentral.